GGACCGGGGCAGGUGGCACUGUGCACGCCAAGAUGGCUGUGUCCACAGAGGAGCUGGAGGCCACGGUUCAGGAAGUCCUGGGGAGACUGAAGAGCCACCAGUUUUUCCAGUCCACAUGGGACACUGUUGCCUUCAUUGUUUUCCUCACCUUCAUGGGUAAGUGUGGCUGUGGCCUCUGGGUCCUCCCAGCCCCCUGCCCUGGGCUCCAGGUUGGGGCCACACCUGGACGCCUGUCCUGUCCCCAGGCACCGUGCUGCUCCUGCUGCUGCUGGUCGUCGCCCACUGCUGCUGCUGCAGCUCCCCUGGGCCCCGCAGGGAAAGCCCCAGGAAGGUGAGCCCCUGGAAGGUGAGCCCUGCCGGCCUCCGGGACCUGCACGGAACUGUACUGGGGGUGGAGGCGGAAGGUGAGGGGAGUGGCGGGAAGGGUGCUCAUCCCCCUAGGGAACAACGAGCGAACCUGCUCGGUCCCACUGUGCUUCUCAUGCAGGAAAGACCCAAGGGAGUGGAUAACUUGGCCCUGGAACCCUGACCCUGUGUGUCCUGCCCGGUGGCAGUAACAAAGCCUUCUGUCCGCCCAGAGCCUGAGUCUGCAGUGUCUUCCAGUCCCCG
This 609-nucleotide small RNA is filed under the name Pan troglodytes (chimpanzee). RNAcentral describes it as "retained intron". Lineage: Eukaryota; Metazoa; Chordata; Mammalia; Primates; Hominidae. The record is from RNAcentral.